Molecule: ribosomal RNA, 500 nt
Filed under: uncultured bacterium
Lineage: Bacteria
Description: partial 16S ribosomal RNA
Rfam family: Bacterial small subunit ribosomal RNA
Source: RNAcentral
AUUGAACGCUGGCGGAAUGCUUUACACAUGUAAGUCGAACGGCAGCACGGACUUCGGUCUGGUGGCGAGUGGCGAACGGGUGAGUAAUGUAUCGGAACGUGCCCAGUCGUGGGGGAUCACGUAGAGAAAAUUACGCUAAUACCGCAUACGAUCUAUGGAUGAAAGCGGGGGAUCGCAAGACCUCGCGCGAUUGGAGCGGCCGAUAUCAGAUUAGGUAGUUGGUGGGGUAAAGGCCCACCAAGCCAACGAUCUGUAGCUGGUCUGAGAGGACGACCAGCCACACUGGAACUGAGACACGGUCCAGACUCCUACGGGAGGCAGCAGUGGGGAAUUUUGGACAAUGGGCGAAAGCCUGAUCCAGCCAUUCCGCGUGCAGGAUGAAGGCCCUCGGGUUGUAAACUGCUUUUGUACAGAACGAAAAGGUUUCUACUAAUACUAGGAGCUCAUGACGGUACUGUAAGAAUAAGCACCGGCUAACUACGUGCCAGCCGCCGCCGUAA